ACGCAGCUGCUGCUUAACAUUUGCAGAUCUGUCUGGCUUUUUAUUUGAAAUGAAGCGGACGGCGCUGCACGCCAGGGUUCCUCUUUACUCGUUCCUUUCUUGUGAUGUUUCUGACCCUGACUCCCUAGUCUGUCGCAGUUAUAAUCGACUUUUAUUACGUUAGGCAAACGUAUGCUAAAAUUACAUUCCUUAAACUGAGGGGACGCGGAGGCACGUUUUUAGGAACAGCGGGUUGAAACCUGGUUCCAGGAGACCUAGUUUGAGGCAACCUUGCUGUAUGAAACCCCAAGUCUACCUUGGUACCAUGCAGUGGCCUGAAACCCAGGCUCCCGAGACCAAGUUCCAAGUCACAAAGUGGCUUCGUGUUCUCUGAGUUUUACUCAAAUGAUUCAUGUUCAGGAAACGGGGUGCACACCAGACGCAUCUGCUAAAUGUUCAGAUUUAGAUUUUUUUAGUUGGUUUUUUAAAUUAUUUCUUUUACCUUGGGCGCCACUUGCUUCACUGCAGUUGUAUUUUAGUUGCUACCACAAAGCUGUUAGCCUGCCAUAUUGUAUAGAGUUAUUUUCAAUUUCAAACCCAAUACAAAUUACACGAGUAUUCCUAUUUAUUAACUUAGUAAGAUACGUGGCAAAAUAGCCAGCGUUCAGGUCUGCAUCAUGAGUUUGGGGUGUAAACCUAUCAAUUGUUAAUUUAGGCAAGAUACAUCCAUUAGUUACAUUACAUUUUAUUGCAAUACUGUUUUACAAGCUCUACUGUAGCAUGUUCUGGAAGUCUCUGUUGUAAACACAAGUUUAUAUGUGCAUCACUAAACCAGUGGUGUUCCAAUUACGUAUUGGGGAAUGUCAAGAAUGUAAAAAAGCGAUAGCUCAUUACUAUGAGAUGUAAGACUGUUGGGAUUUGACAGCAACGAGAAGUCCAUGCAAUUAAAGCUAGUUUAUUGGCACUAUUCAUCUAGGAAUAUUGCGAUUCUGCUGCCGUUCAGGUAUUGGUAGCAGACAACACAAGCACAGGCCCAGGAAAUAAAAUGCUAAUACACACAGAUCAUGCCAUUGUGUAGCAGUACUUUUGUAAAGGCUACUGUGGGCUGUAUUAGUAGCUAAGAUACACCAUAGACGAACAGCUCAAAGGUCGGCCUGAUACAGUAAAACCUGAAAUUGAACUAACUGCUAUGCAGGAGGAAUUUUAAUUCCUCUGUGGAUCAGUGUAAUGGGAGAUACAGCCCACAUUUUAUAGUGAAUGGAUUUCUAAUGUAUAAAAAUGCAAAAUGUAUGUUAUAAACAUGAGUAGCCCCUUUCACACUGGCAUGCGCUACCCGGGUCGGAACCUACCUGGGUCAGGGCCUGGUGUCAUGCGGGUCGACUACGCAAUUUCACACUGCUUUUGAUAAAGUAGGGUUGACCUGGGUGACAGACACAAGUAAACAAUGCGUGUAUCGAUGCCCUGGAAGCAGCUUGUUACAGACGCUUCCAUUGAAAGCUUGAUUGGAGCAAAUGUUUCUACAUCCCUGCUGCAUUCUGGCUCAUGCUGUGUCUCAAUCAGCAAAAAUAUGGCUAAACAGAAUAAACAAAAACGUUCCCUGUGGAAGUUAAACCUUCACAUAGGCAUGGCUCUUUGUUAUUUCAUCCGCCAUCUUGCUCAACCCUGGUCAAAGCGUGUUGACCAACAUCCUGAGGUGGGUCGCUGAGACCCGGGUAUGACCCAGGUACGUGGUUUCACACUAUGCGGGAUUGUGACCCGGGUAGCCAGGACCCGGGUAGGAGUGCCAGUUUGAAAGGGGCUAGUAACUGUAUGGUAGCACACAUUAAUGAUAUAAUUUCAACUUUCCAUUUAGACCCCCCACUCAGUUAAAGUAUUAUUUUCCACUCUCUAUUUAGGCCUACAUGUUUGUUGAAUAAAGUCACACUUUUUAAAACACCCAAUAACAAAAUAAUUCUGUUCCUUGAACUUGAAAUAAAAGCGUUAAUUGUAUUGUAUAAGAUCUUAAGUUCUCAUAAAUGUGAUCAUAGCAAGCCACCAUCUUCAGCAGUUCUUAGAUGUCAUACCACAUCCUUCUCCAUGUUUGUAUGGAUUGUAGUCUGUUAAAAAAAAAAAAAAAAAAAAAAAAAAAAAAAACACCCCUGUGAAGAAAUACCUCAGAACUGAGAUCACUACCCUCAGCACUUUGUACUGGAAUUAACACAGGUAUUUUUUUGGCCUCCAAAUACAUGGAAAACUGUAUAUUUAUUUCAUACAUGCAUCUCUGUGUUCUCUCAAGAUUUCAUGUCAGGGAAGCAGAAUGAGCCUGUUGUCUAACAGCUGUAAACAGUGUAGCUAAAGUAAGAAAAUGGAAGUGUGAUCAUUCACUAUGGUAUGAUACUGAAACACUAUUGAUGCACAACAUUUAAUAAAGAGCUUUUUUAUAUUUAUAAAAUUACUAUAGAUUUACUGAAGUUUCAAGGAAACGUGAAAUUAAAUUAGCUGCCAACUAGUAUCUUCAGCUAUUUGGCUUCUAUAACAGGCUACUUGUGAUAUGUAUAUUAAUCGUUGACCUUGUCUUAAAUAUCUGUCGCUUAUUUGCUGAUACCUUAAAUAGAAGUCAGAGCCAGCGGUGAGAUGCAGUCAGUAUUGAAUGGGAGGCUGGUGGUUUGAGUCAUGCUGGUGAGUUAUGACGUGGCGCUCUGAGCUGCAGAGACAUCUAAAACUCUUGAGGUGAGCACUGCGUAAGAAAUGGGCCGAAUUGUUGCUGUGGAGAGCACUUUUUUCAAAUCUGCAAGCCCUCCUGAAAGGGAAGUGUUUUUUUUUUAUUUUUUUUUCUGGAAGGUUGAUGAGGAGGAAGGGGAAGGCUCAAUGAAAGCCUUUUUAUCUGCUGAUUACGAAGCAUACGGCAGACCUGUUCACUGACUGGCAUCCCGGGGUCCUUCUGGAACCUGUACCGUCCUAUUGCCUCAAGAGAUUGUUCAUUUCCAAUGAACUGGUUAUAUACAAAACACUUCUGUAAUAUAUAUUUCAUUGUGGCUGUGCUCAGUUAUAAAACUGAGGACUGAGUUGCAGAUUUGUGGCAUUUGAUGAAGAUCCCCCCACCAGUCUUUGAAGAUAUUUUACCCAUUUAAACCGCAUGCAAAUCUCCAGCACUUAUAAAUAUUGCUCUUUAAAUCUCCCUCGGAAAACCACCAUCCCCGGAAUAAUUAAUCUAAUCUUACAUCCAACAGUGCUACAGUGAAUAUAAAUAAUGGGUAAAUACAGUAAAUACUGCAUGCUAAAAUGAUUGUAGUUAACAAAAUAACUGCAUGAGUCUUACUUGUUAUGCAUUGGCUUCUUUCCUGUUGUUAACCAACCAGUUGCUUUGCUUAUUGACUGACCUGCUUUCAGCCAGUUAUACCCCUUCUCCACUGGCACAUCCGACACGUGAGGGUUCGAUAUGUUACGGGUACGAGUGGUUCUCCACUGGCUAUUUGUUGAGCCGAGCGAGAACCAAACUGUGAAACUCCGGCCUCAUAAGACAUCUGAAUCUGGCUUGGAGCCUUGCGGGGGUUUAAGGAUUUUUGUCAUUAUGUUGCAUCAGUCAGUACACGCCAGAAAGUCAAACAUGACGGGCAGCGAUUACAAAAUAUAGCGAUUUACAGGUGUACCGUUGAUACAGUAGAAGAGACAUUACGUGCUUUGACCUAGAAGUGCAAGUGUAACAGAUUUCCUGAGAAUAAGGCAUAGAAACUGACAACUUUCUUUAACCCAAAGUACUAACCGGUACCAUUUAAAUACAGUACAUAUUUACUAUACAUUUGCGUAGUUAAUGGAAAUGCAAAAGGGUACGAUUUUAUAGAAUUGUUUGCAACUGUGCAGUUACUUUCUGAGGCACAGUUAGCACACAGUCCCUCCUUCUUUCCAUCGGAGACUGCAUUAUAGUUUACUCUCAAAGAGAUUCCUGCUCCCUUGUACAGUACAGUGUAUCCGACUGUGGUGGGACCAGAGUAAGGGUGGAUAUGCAAAAACUCCGAUAAGUGAAUCCUGUUAAGUACCAUUAUACACAGCUGUAACAAUUAUUAUAUUUCACACAAUUAUUUGGGAGCUCCUCUAAAUCCCUUGUUUUGCAAGAUACAGGGUAUUAAUGCUGAUGACAGUGUAGCCGUGUGGGUGCCCGCAUUCACUGCUGAGUAACAGGCAGGAGAUCGAGACAGGUUGAAAUUGAUAUGCCACGCAGACGAACAGGAUUUAUUUACGUAUAAACAGCCCAGUUGGCUUUGGUUUUGCAGCAGCCCUGAAGUGUAUAAAUGGUAAUUCAUUAAUUACAAUACACGGUUAGAAACUAGCAAUAUUGUGCUACUAGUCCAAAGGACUAGUACCUUUUGAAACUUGCUAGUCCCUUAUGUGAAGUGCCUAAGUUGGAAUCGUCAACAAGCCUAAAAACAAGCCUAUUUUUUAGCCUACGCCUAAAAAUAGGCUUAGGCUAAAAAAUAAACAGCUCUCCAGCUAUUUAAAAAAAUGCUAGCUGGCUAUGAAUUACUAGCUACAAUAAUGAAUGUACUCAUGUACACAUGGGUCAUCACUAAAGUCCCAAUUUAAAGACCGUACAUUUCACUGUAGCCCUCGGGAUGAAGUUAUUACCUAGGUGGCCUUUUUUUUGGUGUGUUUGUUUAAUUAACAGUGGGAGAAAACCGCUUCAUCAGGUACAGUAGAAUCUGCCAGAACUGACGGGUCUGUAUCUGCUAGAUUUAGAUACUAAUGAGAGCAUAACAAAUACCAAAGAAACAAGGGAAAUGCAGAUCUUUUCAAGAAAGCUGGGAGAUUUUGUAUAAAUGUAUUUUAUAUUUUUAAACUCUGCAAUAACAGUUCUGCUUGUGAAGCAUCCACACUAUAAUUUGACAGAACAGGUGCUUGAGGCCCAGAAUCACCGCCUGUGCACUUAUUAGUGAUUUAAAGCCUGGUUUUUAUGCUGACAAUAAUGAAUACAACACCAAGCUUCAUAAGUCCCAAGCUUUAAACGUGUUACUGUUUAUAAGUAAGAACUUAUCUUUAUUUUGAAUAUAUUGUUAUGUUUUAAGCAACGUACUACGAUAAUGUUCACUAUGGUAAUUGUUUGUUUGUUUAUUAGUUUUAAAAUGUUUAGUAAAACGUGACCUAUUGUUUGACCUUGUUCGUACAACUGGCCCCUUUUGCUAAUUACCUCUUCAGUCAGGGUCGUAACCCGAUAUAAAUCUCGUAAAAUGACUUUACACUUACUUCAAAAGGUGCAACGUGUUCCAGUAAAUUCAAACGAUAACUUCGCAUCCCGCGCAGAGGGAGAACACCAACGUAAAACGUCAUUAAGUGGGGUUGGCAUUGCAGGGGAGAUGAAGGGAGGUUUCAGUUCAGAGUGACUGUUUUCUAAGCAUUAUUUGUGAUUGCUUAUUCACCACUGCUACGCCCUGUUAGAAAAUUAACUUCUCUGCAUUUUUUUAACACAAGACUAAACGUGAGCGUAUAUGUGUACAUUUGUUUAAGUACUCGCCCAGAGGACUAAUGAGACACAGACAUCAACUAGUCCUCAUCAGAUUUAAUUCGCCUCAGGCAUGUGGGAGUUUCUAACCCUGCAAUAAAGAAUCACGAUUUACAAUAUACAUUUACACAAAAAACCCUCUUCAUGCGCAAGGCUCCUGCCCUACUACACUGCUGUAUACACUUACAUUAGUGUUGGUAAUUUUACUGUGACAAAGUGGUUUGCAGUGCGCAGGAAUGAUUUGAAACAACAGAGUUCAUGGUUAAACAGCUCUUUAUUGGCUAAUCAAUAAUAAAUGGCUCUACACACCAAUGUGUAUCGCUCAGUUAAACCAAGGGGUUCAGUCCCGAAAUAAGACACUAAACAAGACACACACAAAUACAGACACGAUCACUUAAUCCAGUAGUGAGUGCUCUUUGUGCAGGUGGUGCAAUACAAGUUUAUAGUGAACAAUGGUGCAGUGCAGUCUCGGUUUAAUACUGGCUUUGUAGCGGCAGCUCCCAGAUAGAUUAGCCAUCUAUAAUGACAAACAAAGUUAAUUUGUUAAUACAACAAAACAACACAAAACACUUGCUGUUCUUUUUCUCUUCACUCCUUUACAGGUCCUUUCGUAACCAUAACAAAGGAACAGAUUGCAUCGUCACAUCCCCUCAAAUACCUUUAGUCACGCCACCCUCCGAUAGCUAGUUCAAUCACGUCUCCUCCAAUCCAUGACUGACAUCGCUUACCGUACUAGGGCGAUGACUUCUGGUAUUGUGACUGCCCCCUUCCUGGAUGGCCGGCUUCUGACUGACCCUAGAAUGAACUGCCGAACCAUUCAGUACAAGGCACGCUGUUCCUGUUAUACUGCGCCCUCACAGGUCGGGAGGGAGAUUGUUGGCUAGCAGAGAUGCCAUGUGCUACGAUUUUUUGAAAAAAAAUAUAUAUAACGUUGUAUAUAAAAAAAAAUAUAUACAUAUAGCCUAUAAAUAUACAUACAAACCAUUGUUUCAACAGGCUACCAUGUGUGUGUUUUCCUGUCUAUUUAUAUAUACAUAUUAUUCUUAAUAUAUUUCACUGGCAUUUUACCUAACGUACUAAAAGCGGUGAGCCGGGUUGCUUAGCAACCGGUAUAGGGGGUCCUAGAGAAACUGCCGCGCAAAUGUUGCAUUAUACAAUCGUUCAGGUUUCAUCACCAGCCAGUGUCCUACUCUCCUCUGUCUAAAAGAAGUCGACUAUCCUGCCAGAAAUAGACAUGAAUACACUAAAGAAUGGCCUUUUAUUAAAACAAGUAAAAUCUCUGACUCGCAUGCCUACUGUGAAUAUUGCCGGACUGACUUCUCGGUGAAACACGGUGGACACCACGAUUGCAUCGUUCAUGUAGGUACAAAAACAUCACCAAUUUGCAAAAUCUAUUGGAAAUCAUAAAUCUAUGCGUGAAUUUGUAGUGAGUACAGGCGAAGGUAAUGCAGUGAUAAAGGCAGAAACACUUUUUGCAAACUUUAUUGUUGAGCACAAUCUUCCAAUUGCUGUUUCGGAUCAUAUCGGUCCACUUUGCAAAGCUGCAUUUCCAGACUCAAACAUCGCCAGCAAGUACGGAUCAGGCCGCUCAAAAACCACUGCCAUAAUUGAAACCCAUUAGCCUCGGAAUUAUCGCUGGGUUAUUUUUGAUUGAGCACGGACGGCAGCAGUGACACAACAACCAGUCAACUGUACCCAGUUGUAAUGAGAUAUUAUAACGGGUCGCUUGUAAAAAUUGUCACGAAAUUACUUUCGCUACCAGCAAUGCAAGAAGUUUUGAGUACUGGAGAGAACAUAUUUAAUUUACUCAACAGAAAUUUGAAGAAAUUUUAACAUCCCAUGGCAACGAUGUUUGAGCUUCUGUUGUGAUAAUGCCUCUUAUGGUUGGAGUUCACGGGGGUGUUGCAGCAUUUGUGCAUAAGGAAAAUGAAAAUGUAUAUGUACAGGGAUGUCCAUGCCACUUGGUGCACCUUGCAGACCAGUAUGCAGCUGCAAAACUAUCACUAUCAGUGGAAGAUCUGUUGAUUUGACUUGUGUUAUUAUUUUGACAAAAGCAGCAAGAGAAAUAAAAACUAAAACAGUUACAGCAGCUCUGACAUCGAAACCAGAGGAAUCAUCAAGCAUAUAAAUACAAGGUGGUUGAGUGUUGGCAAAUGUCUUGAUAGGCUAUUGGAACAGUGGCCUGCUCUACUAAAGUUCUUCACAAGCAAAGAGAGUCCUUCAUCUUCUGUCACUAAAGGCUCCAGUGGGGCACACCCUGGCGGACCAGCAUAGCCUCAUUGUGACAGACCACAUGGAAGAGCACAGUCUAGCAGUGCACAACAGCCUACUGUAACAGCACAGCUUAAACAGUCAGGUUCAUAAGAAACCUGGUCCCAAGCAGAUGCCUUCUAUAAGUGGGAAGUUGGUUCACACUUCAAUACCUACAAAGCAAAAAGUUUGUAGGAAAGAGUCUUCAGCCAAAGCCCAAGAAGGACACUGUCAGAAGCUGAAGAGGCCUAGUUCAGAGUCACAGAAGAAAUCCCUCUCCACAUCUGGAAAAACCAAACCAAGAGAGAGCAUGCCAUUAUCAACUAAACAGGAUAGGAUCAAGUCUUGCUUUGAGAGGGCAUCACAAAGUUGUAUUGCUUAUUUCUGCAAACAAGUGUUCCAGCAUUUGAUAAACUCAAUCUCCUGUUGCAAAGUGACAAGCCUAAUAUCCAUGUCCUUGGCAGGGAAUUACAAGCCCUUUUAUACAGAUCUUCUCUGCAAGUAUUUUUACGCCAGCUAUAUUGGUAGCAGCCUCCAGUGUGUACACAUUAGAUUUUAGAAGUCUCAACAACCAGAAAUCUGAUAAUGACCUGGUGAUUGGUACAAAGACCAGACAAUAUCUGUGUGCCUGCAUUGCUGAUAAAUCACUGCAACAUGAAGGUGUGAAGCUCUUCUACUCUUCUGUAAAGGCAUACUUUUCAGAGGCAUGCACAUACAUGCAGAAGAAAUUUCCUCUUCAGGAUGAACUGCAUAGGAAUGCCCAAAUGGCAGACAUCAGUCAGCGGGAGAAGGUGUCAUUUGACUGUCAGUUAUUUUGUGGACAGAUCUGGGCUGGUCAAAGAAGAUGAAAUGGAUGAACUGGAGUCCCAGUUUGAAAGAUAACAAAUUUUCAGUUUUUUCAGAGGACAUUUUGUCAGAAGACAGGGCUGAUGUAGCAUGGAAUAUGAUUGGGCAAUUCAUUGUAAAAAAUUGUACAACACAGAAAUCCAGUUUCAGUGUGCUGGUGAAGGUCAUGCUUUCGGACAAAUUGAUCUGAUAGGACCCUGGAGGCGCUGCUUGUCCAGAAGCUCCACAUCCUCGCACCUGACAGUGUGUGCUACAAGGUGGUGUUUGGCUGUGUUCUGCUUAAAAAAUGCAAACAAGCUACCAAUAAAAAAAAAUAAGUGGUAAUGAUACAAAUUGUACCAAUGUUUGUGUAGACCAAUGCAAAAAAUUAAUGUCUGUUUUAUGGAAAAGUAUUUGAAAUGCAUUUGGUAUACUCAAUUGCGUUUCAAUACUUUUCCAUACAACAGACAUUAAUUAAAUUGAAAUCCAAAGUACUUGUAGUUCAGAAUACAAAUCAUGUGAAAUGCAAAUAAUUCAAAAUAAAUACAAAUUGUUAAAUCUUUCUCGAGCUGUUAUUUUUGAUUAAGUUUGGAGGUUGAAUAUUUCAGUCCAGAUUUGAUUCUUCCUCUGGAUUUCAUUUUAAUUUGAAGGUGCUAGCAGCACCUGAUCAUGGGGGGAAAAAAAAAAUAGCGCCUCGCUACGCUCACCAGGUAAUUUUUUUACUGGUCAGGUGCUACUAUUUUCCACUUUCAGAACUUGGCAUCUCUGGGCUAGGAUUCAUUCGCUCUGUAAUGUUUAUACAGUUGCAAAAUGCAUAGGUUUACGAACAACGUUCCUUAGCCUUUUUGCAUUAGCACUGCACACGUGGGUGACGUUGCUGAAGAGCUUGAUCAUCGCAGAUUAACGGUUAGGGCGGAUAUGUGAUGGGCGGAUUACUGUGUAGGGGUCCCAUAAGAACCCCAGACUAAUGCUAUGUGCU
Molecule: long non-coding RNA, 9506 nt
Organism: Acipenser ruthenus (sterlet)
Lineage: Eukaryota; Metazoa; Chordata; Actinopteri; Acipenseriformes; Acipenseridae
Exons: 3
Source: RefSeq, a predicted model, not a curated record